AUUUAGAGGAAGGAGAAGUCGUAACAAGGUUUCCGUAGGUGAACCUGCGGAAGGAUCAUUGUCGAAACCUGCCCAGCAGAACGACCCGCGAACCCGUCUCAACACCGGGGGCCUGCGGGCCUCGUGCCCGUGCGCCCCCCGCCCGUGCGGCGCGGGGUGUCGGUCGCGCGCUCCUGCUCGCGUCCGCCCCCUUCGCCGCGCGUUAACGAACCCCGGCGCGAACCGCGCCAAGGAAUACUUAACGAGAAGCCCGUUCCCGUCGCCCCGGACACGGUGCGCGUGCGGGAUGCGUGGCCUUCUUUCAUUAUCUAUAACGACUCUCGGCAACGGAUAUCUCGGCUCUCGCAUCGAUGAAGAACGUAGCGAAAUGCGAUACUUGGUGUGAAUUGCAGAAUCCCGUGAACCAUCGAGUCUUUGAACGCAAGUUGCGCCCUAAGCCAUUAGGCCGAGGGCACGUCUGCCUGGGUGUCACGCAUCGUUGCCCAACCCCCGGAUCCUGCGAUCUCGCGGCGGUGGGCGGAGAAUGGCCUCCCGUGCGCUUGCGCCCGCGGUUGGCCCAAAUCAGAGUUCUCGGUGACGCUUCCCGCGACAAUCGGUGGCGUUUGAAACACAACCUAGUGAUCCUGUCGUGCGGUCGGCGUUCUCCCGUCCACGGACUCCUCGACCCUCGAGAGCGCGCGAGAGCGCGUUCGCAUCGCGACCCCAGGUCAGGCGGGAUUACCCGCUGAGUUUA
RNAcentral lists this ribosomal RNA (733 nucleotides) under Toxicodendron succedaneum. RNAcentral describes it as "eukaryotic LSU rRNA". The stretch from base 316 to 471 matches the Rfam family "5.8S ribosomal RNA". Lineage: Eukaryota; Viridiplantae; Streptophyta; Magnoliopsida; Sapindales; Anacardiaceae. The record is from RNAcentral.